This 538-nucleotide ribosomal RNA is filed under the name Cricotopus sp. O69. Its description in RNAcentral is "partial 16S ribosomal RNA". The stretch from base 385 to 538 matches the Rfam family "Bacterial large subunit ribosomal RNA", at positions 2473 to 2628 of the family's 2925-position model. The record is from RNAcentral. Lineage: Eukaryota; Metazoa; Arthropoda; Insecta; Diptera; Chironomidae.
ACUUUUAAAGUAUAGCCUGCCCACUGAUUAAUAUUUAAAGGGCCGCGGUAUUUUGACCGUGCAAAGGUAGCAUAAUCAUUAGUUUUUUAAUUGAAGACUGGAAUGAAUGGUUGAAUGAGAUAUAUGUUGUGUCAUAAAAUUUAAAUUUAAAAUUUAUAUUUUAGUUAAAAAGCUAAAAUGACUUUUAAAGACGAGAAGACCCUAUAAAUCUUUAUAUUUAAAUUAAUUUAAUUUAUAUAGAAUAUAAAUUUAUUAAAUUAAAUUUAGUUUAAAUAUUUUAUUGGGGUGAUAUUAAAAUUUAUUUAACUUUUAAAUUAUUUAUUCAAAUUUAUUUGUAAUAAAAUUGAUCCAAUAUUAUUGAUUAAAAAUUUAAGUUACUUUAGGGAUAACAGCGUAAUUUUUUUGGAGAGUUCAAAUCGAUAAAAAAGAUUGCGACCUCGAUGUUGGACUAAGAUUUAAUUUAGGUGCAGAAGCUUAAAUUUAGAGUCUGUUCGACUUUUAUAUCUUACGUGAUCUGAGGAAAAACACCGGAGAGAAA